UACGUAGGGGGCAAGCGUUGUCCGGAAUCAUUGGGCGUAAAGAGCGUGUAGGCGGCCCGAUAAGUCCGCUGUGAAAGUCCAGGGCUCAACCCUGGAAUGCCGGUGGAUACUGUCGGGCUCGAAUCCGGAAGAGGUGAGUGGAAUUCCUGGUGUAGCGGUGAAAUGCGUAGAGAUCGGGAGGAAGGCCGGUGGCGAAGGCGGCGCUCUGGAACGUUUCUGACACUGAGGCUCGAAAGCGUGGGGAGCAAACAGG
This 253-nucleotide ribosomal RNA is filed under the name uncultured bacterium. Its description in RNAcentral is "partial 16S ribosomal RNA". It matches the Rfam family "Bacterial small subunit ribosomal RNA", at positions 524 to 776 of the family's 1533-position model. The record is from RNAcentral.